RNAcentral lists this long non-coding RNA (5073 nucleotides) under Nicotiana tabacum (common tobacco). RNAcentral's name for it is "long non-coding RNA (NTAB_LNC011612)". The record is from RNAcentral. Lineage: Eukaryota; Viridiplantae; Streptophyta; Magnoliopsida; Solanales; Solanaceae.
AAAAGGGUUGACAGUACUAAAAAAUAGAGAAUUCCGAGCGAAACUUUCCGACCGAAAAUUAUAGUCGGAAAUUUCCAACGGUUUCGGUCGGAAAAGCAAAAAAAAAUAAUUGUUCAAUUUUUUUAUUAUAAUAUUUCGACCAUAUUCCGACAAUGUUAGUCACAAAGUUUUGGCGCAAAAAAUCGGAAAAGUUGUUUGCGACCGAUUGAGUCGGUGCUUGAAAGUCAAACCAGUUUUAACUUUUCGACUGAAACGAUAGGAAAUUAAUAAAAUAUAUAUAUUUAUUUUUUUAGUUUUUCCAAACGAUUUGGUCGGAAACCAUUUUAAAAUAUCCUGUCAGUAUAUAACCGACCAAAUCGAUCGGAAAAAUAGCGAAAUUUUGAAUUUUAAUUUUUUUACCGACCGAUCCGUCGGAAAUGCUAUUUAUAACCCUGCCCUGACCCCUAUAUUCUUUUUUCUUUCUCUUCUAUUACACUAUUUGGUCACCUCGCCAAUCGUCGUCGCCCACCUUUACUCAAAUUUCUGACGGUAUACCACUCUCUAUCUCACUUUCUCCCUCCCUCCCUCUCUCACUCAUCCCUUUCGCGGCCAGAUUCUUUAACCCUUUUUCAAUUAAUUUUUUUCUUUUUCAGGCAGUGGAGUAAUUCGGCGGUGUGCAUCUUCUCCGGCGAGGUAAGUUCUUCCUUCAUUCCUUCUCCAGCCUUGAAUGUUACUAUAUUUUUUCUUUUUGUUUGUAUUGUAAUUAAAAUUAGUAUUUUUUUUUAGUUUGAAUAUUGAUAAGAUUAGAAUUGAAAUUAGGGUUGAAAUGAAAGAAUAAGUUAUUCUUUAACCUUGAAUAACUAUGGUUCAGAGCCUUGAGUAACAUGAAAAUUAAGCUUCCUUUGGAUAAAAAAAUUAGAAGUGAAUGAAAUUUGAGAUAGAUUUUUUUUCAAUAGGAGAAAUCUUCAAUUUGUAUUGUAAUUUAUAUAUAUUCUGGAAUUAGAAAUAAAACUAUUCAAUCUUGACUUUAUUUUCACAUUGUAAUUUACAUAUGUUAUUAAAUUAGGAAUAAAUGUUGUUUGAAUUUUGUGUCUUGUGCUUUGAUUUUCUAUUUAAGUUGGGAUAGGAAACAAAGGAAAGAUUUGUGUGCAAGCUUAAAUACUUAACUUUUAAUCAAAAAAAGUAUAACUAUAGUUUAUAUUUUGCAACUAUCGUCCGAAGAUAUGACUUUAAUAUGGAGACAGGCAGCCGGUGGAGUAAAUAAAGGUAUAUCUUUUUUAGUAAUAUUAUUUUGCACAAGUUGUAUGUUUCUUCUCUUGCUCAUUUUACUUUUUUUUGAUUCUCAUGAAAAUAAAUAAAGAUAGAGUCAAACUUGAAGUACAACCAUUGUCCAGUUGUCCAACUGCAUUACUCAGUGGUGCUUCUGCUUCACCUGAAGAAAUUGAGACUAUGCAGACAUAAAUCAAUGAAUUAACACAACAAUGAAACAUUACUCAAGAAAUAAUAAGUAUGAUGCGUAUAUUCAUGGAAAAGCAUGGCAACCAACGUACAAUGGAGGAAUCUAACAAUGGGGAGAUUGAAAUCGACGAGGAGUAGUAAUUUGGAAUGAUCAUGAUAUUUAGACAUGACUACUUUUGACUUGGUUGGUUUUAGACUUGGAUUAUGUGUUUUAGACUUGAAUAUCAUUUGGUUGAAACUUUUAGACUUUAAUAUGUCUUAAUAAAUGCGUUUUACACUUGUUUGAAGGUGUUGUAAUAUUUACUAGUUUAAUAUUUGAUAUUUUAGGUUCAAUUGAUUGAGCAAUUUUGAUAUAUAUUAGGUUGAAUGAUUGAUUUUGAAUUGGCAGGUGGUGUAGCUUAAAAUACAGCAGAAUUCUAGUGAAAUUUAUCAGAAAUUUGCUUCCGAUUUUCGACCACUGUAGUCGAAAUUUAUAACUGACAAUUCCUAGAUUUUCUACUGAGGUGAUUGGAAAUAUUAAUUAUUUAUUAAAUUAAUUUUAAUAUUUUCGGCUGAUUUGGUCGGAAAUGACGAAUAUAAUUUUAAUUAAUACUAAAUAUACCGACCAAAUCGGUUGGAACUCGUUACGUGUUAUUAAUAUUUAUUUUUAAAUAAGCGAACGACUAGGUCGCAAAUUUACCAACCAAAUCGGUCGCAAAUUUACCGACCAAAUUGAUCGCAUGUUUUGAAUUUAUCUAGUCACCCUGAUUUUUCCUCUUUGCGACCAAAACGGUCGAAAAUUUCCGACCAUUUCGAUCGAAAAUAUUUUACAACCAUCUGUUUUUCGACCACUUCUACGAUGACCCAGCCGGUCGUUUUGAGUAUUGUAGCCCCCAUUCCUCAAUUUAUUGCCUCUUUUUUGUUCAUUUGUGGUUAUGUGACUUGUCGAGAUAGUUGGUCUGGUUUUCGGGUGAGUUUCGGCGUGAAUUGGGACACUUAGUCCCAAAGUUGAUAACUUAAGUUAGAAGAGUUGACCGGAGUUUGACUUUUGUGUAGACGACUCCAAAAUGGAGUUUUGAUGAUUUCGAUAGCUUCGUAUGGUGAUUAUGGACUUAGGCAUAUGUUCGGAUGUUGAUUUGGAGGUCUGUGGGUUGAUUUUGUACUUUUUGGUGAAAGUUGGAAAGUUAAUAGGUUUGAUCUAGGGUUGACUUUAUUGAUAUCGGGUUCAGAUUGUGGUUUCGAGAGUUGGCAUAGGUCUGUUGUGUCAUUUAGGACUUGCAUGCAAAAUUUGAGCUCAGUCGGAGUUAAUUUGAUGUGAUUCGGCGUUAGUUUUAGAAGUUAAAUGAUCAUUAGUUUAUUAGGCUUGAAUUAAGGUAUGAUUCGUAGAUUUGAUGUUGUUUGGUGUGAUUUAGGGUCUCGAGUAGGUUCGUGUUAUAUUUUUGGACUUGAUGGUAUGUUCGAAAGGGGUCUCGGGGAACUCGGGUAUGUUUCGGAUUGAGUUCGGACCAAAUUGGAGGCUUAGGACAUUGCUGAAGCCUGUUGAGUGCUAGUGCAAUCGCACCUGCGAUAGUUGGGCCGCAGAUAUAUGUUAGGGCCUGGGGGUUGGGUCCGCAGGUGGGGAGAUGUGCGCGUAGGUAUGCAACCGUAGAAGCGGAUUUCUUCGCAGAAGCGAGUAUUGGACUGUUGGCAAGGGACCGCAGGUGCGGUCAUGUUCCGCAAAAGCGGACGCGCAGAUGCGCAUACGGGUUCGCAGAAGCAGAAUUCCUGGGCUUAAUGAGAUACCGCAUUGCAAUGUUUUUCUGUAGAUGCGGAGCCGCAGAAGUAACUAAUGGACCACAGAUGCGGAAAUCGCUGGGCAGGAAUAGGUUAGAUCAAGGGUUUUAUUUUAUUUCUCACUUUUUGAGUUAGAGAGCUCGAUUUUGAGAGAUUUUAGAAGGGAUUUUCAAGGAUUGGAUCGGGGUAAGUAUUUUUUACUCGGAUUUGUUCAUUAUUCGUGAAUCCAUCAUCGUUUUUAUUAUUUAAUCAGUGAAUUAAAUUGGAGAAAUUGAGGAUUUUUGUAAAACAUUUCCUAAACCAUAAAUUGAAGAUUUGAAGGUUGAUUUGAGGUCAAAAUUGGAUAAUUUUGGUGUGGAUGGACACGUAUCGGAAUGGUGUUUGGGAUUUGUAAGUUUGGCCGGAUUCCGAGGUGCGGGCUCGGGAUUGACUUUUUGAAUUGACGUUUUGAUUUCCAUUAAAGAUUGAAACCUUAUUACUUGAAAUUGCUUGCUAUAGCUUGUAUUUAUGGUAUUAUAUUAUUUUGGCUAGAUUCGAGCUGUCUGGAGUUGGAUUUGCGCGGAAAGGGCUUAUUAGUGGAUUGAUUUAGCUUAUUGGAGGUAAGUAUCUUACCUAACUUUGUGUGGGGGAAACUACCCCUUAGGAUUUGGGUUGAUUGUGUUAUUUGUAUAAUGUGAAAGACGUGUACACGAGGUAACGAGUGUGUACGCGAGGUAACGAAUGUGUACACGGAUUUAUAUGUCGUAUUUUGAGAGGUUUAAACUUUUAGACUUAUUCCAUGCAUUUAAUUGAAAUUUGUCUUAACAUGUUAUAUCUUCCAUUGUUCAAUUUUCUCUCACAUGCUCUAUUUGAUAUUGUUAGCAUAUGUCCUAUCCUUUAUUGUCAAGUUUGUUCUUGUACGCUUUAGUUGAAGUUGUUAUCUCUCUUAUUGUCUUGUUACCUCUUUUAUUGUUAAAUUAUUCUUAUUUCGAGUUGUUGAUUGUUAUAAUAUCCUUCCUUAUUGGGUAUUCCUCUUUUAUUUUGUUUUAUUUAGAUUCUUGUUCACAUUGUUGGUUGGCCCGUGGGCUAUAUGUUGUGGUAAUAUUUGGUAUUAUUGAGUUUUGGCAAGUGUUGUGGCAUAUGGGUACAUGUGGUACGAGUUUAUUAUUGUGUUGUGAUAUUAAUACGCAUGCGGUGGUAUAAGGAUAGGGGUUGAUACGCAUGCAGUGAUAUAAGGUGGGAUUAAUAUGUGCGUUGCUAGUAAGGAAAUUACUUGAAGCCACGCGGUGAGAUAAGGGGCUAAAACGCGUGUAGCUAUUUCGGGAGAAACGUUUUCAAAAUAAAUACAAGGCUCACGCGGUGAUAUAAUGAGAAUUUUGAUUGUGACUUGUGAAAUGAGAUUUGUGAGGUGUGGUACCUCAGUUGUGAUUCUUGUUGUACAUUAUAUGUUAAAAAGGCUUAUUGGUUGAAUAGUUCUUCUUCAUAUUUGAUUUUUCGUUGCUCUCAUUAUGUGUUCACUUCUUGUUGUCUUUACCACCUUAGAUUUUGUUGUUAGCUUACAUUAUUGUACUGCUUUAUUGUCAUUUAUUUCCCCGCUUUCCAUUAUUAGACUAUACUAUAUUCUAUUCAGUUUUCUUAUCCUAGUAGGUGUCUUGACCUGGCCUAGUUACUACUCUACCGAGGUAGGCUUGAUACUUACUGGGUACCAUUAUGGUGUACUCAUGCUAUGCUUCUACACAUUUUUGUACAGAUCCAGGUACAUCAGUUCGUGCUGAACACCAGUGAUCUUAAAGUUGUUUUCCGGAGACUUCAAGGUAUACCUGCCUGAUGCUCGCACGCCUCGAAGUCACCUUCUGUUAUUCCCUUUACUGUUGUUAUUCCUAUUUUCAGACAGUGUUGUAUUAG